AGCGAACGCUGGCGGCAGGCUUAACACAUGCAAGUCGAGCGGGCCCUUCAGGGUCAGCGGCGGACGGGUGAGUAACGCGUGGGAACGUGCCUUCUGGUCUGGAAUAACCCUGGGAAACUAGGGCUAAUACCGGAUACGCCCUUUUGGGGAAAGGUUUACUGCCGGAAGAUCGGCCCGCGUCUGAUUAGCUAGUUGGUGGGGUAACGGCCUACCAAGGCGACGAUCAGUAGCUGGUCUGAGAGGAUGAUCAGCCACACUGGGACUGAGACACGGCCCAGACUCCUACGGGAGGCAGCAGUGGGGAAUAUUGGACAAUGGGCGCAAGCCUGAUCCAGCCAUGCCGCGUGAGUGAUGAAGGCCUUAGGGUUGUAAAGCUCUUUUAUCCGGGACGAUAAUGACGGUACCGGAGGAAUAAGCCCCGGCUAACUUCGU
Molecule: ribosomal RNA, 432 nt
Filed under: uncultured bacterium
Lineage: Bacteria
Description: partial 16S ribosomal RNA
Rfam family: Bacterial small subunit ribosomal RNA
Source: RNAcentral